CGGGUGAGUAAUACGUGGGUAACCUGCCCCGAUGAUUGGGACAACCCGAGGAAACUCGGGCUAAUACCGAAUGUGCCCUUCGACCGCAAGGUCGCUGGGGAAAGGAAGCUUCGGCCUCCGCAUCGGGAUGGGCCCGCGGCCCAUUAGCUUGUUGGUGAGGUAACGGCUCACCAAGGCGACGAUGGGUAGCUGGUCUGAGAGGACGAUCAGCCACACUGGGACUGAGACACGGCCCAG
This 237-nucleotide ribosomal RNA is filed under the name uncultured bacterium. RNAcentral's name for it is "partial 16S ribosomal RNA". It matches the Rfam family "Bacterial small subunit ribosomal RNA", at positions 103 to 334 of the family's 1533-position model. The record is from RNAcentral.